This 4136-nucleotide long non-coding RNA is filed under the name Lynx canadensis (Canada lynx). RNAcentral describes it as "lncRNA (ENSLCNG00005003418.1)". Lineage: Eukaryota; Metazoa; Chordata; Mammalia; Carnivora; Felidae. The record is from RNAcentral.
GUAGUGGAAGGACUUGUCGCACUCGAGGCACUGGUAGAGGGUGGGGCCCUGGUGGGAGGCCAGGUGGCGCUUGAGCUGGGUCAGGGUGGAGAAGUCCAGGCCGCACUCGACGCAGACGUGGCAGCGGCCGCUCUCGUGCUUCACUUCGUGGGCCUUGAGCUCGCUGGGGUAGGCGAAGCCGCGGCCGCAGAAGUGGCAGCUGUACGGCUUGACCUCGGAGUGCAGCAGCAUGUGGCGCUUGAGGUGGCUGGUCUGCGUGAAGGCCUUCUGGCACACCUGGCACUUGUGGGGCCGGGUGCCCUGGUGCGUCAGCAGGUGCGCUGCAGGUGGCUGGGCUGCUUGAAGAGCUUGCUGCAGUGCGGGCACGAGUGCGGCUUGAUGCCGUUGUGCCCCAGGAGAUGCCUUCCUACAUUCAUGCAGAGGGAAGAUAAAGGGAAGAGGCAGACGUGUAAUUCGACGGUGUCAGAAGGGCCUGGGUUGAAUAAUGCCACGUGUGAACUCAGACAAGGCACUUAACCUCUCUGAGCUUCAGUUUCCCCGAAAAUGGGCCUAACGCCCCCUUCGUACAGUUGUGAAGACUGUGAAAACUGGAGGCCGUCAGUAAAACACCCAGCGCGGGGCCUGACAAUUAAUUACGCACUUUCUUUUCUCUUAAGUAACAGAAGGUCACAGCUGUGGCUCCUGAAUGCCUUCUAGGACAAUCUGCAGAGACACCCUGGGAGGACGGUGCUCCCAGAUCCUCUGCACAGCUAGCUAAAUUCUGGGAAAUUUGGGACUCACAACUGAAGUAAUUUGUUACUUCAAGAACAAGUUGUGUUCUGCAACUCACUUCAAAACGGCUCAGAAAAAACCAAACACACAUACACAUGUACGUAUGAGGCAAAUAAGGCAAAUGUUAGUAUCUGUUCUCUCUAGUCCUGGGUGUGUAAGUAUUUCCUGUACUAUUCUUUCAACUUUUCUAUAGAUUUGCAAUAUUUCAUGAUAAAACCUUGAUGAAAACUCCUGCUUUAAAUUUAAACGGUAAAAAACCGUAUAAUACUUUAAGAAACCUUGCACUGCAUUAAUUUAUCUAGAGAACUGACCUGGUCCCUGACCUCACAGAGCUUACUUACCACACAGCAUUUCUUCGGGCAGCGUAUUUUCUUGCUAAUUUUAUAGGCUGUUCAGUUUUCUCUUCAAGCUUAAAUCUCGAUUUUUCUUUUUUUUAAACAAACAUAUGCAUGAUCUUAGAAUAGAAUUUUUAACCCUUUAGGUAUCUCAUGAUAAAAUCUUUUCCCCUGGGCUGUCGAUUGUUUUGUAGAAUUCACAUAGUACUUACAAUUACUUUUAAGUUUAUUUAUUUAUUUUGAAAGAGAGCAAAGGAGGGGCAGAGAGAGAGAGAGAGAGAGAGAGAGAGAGAGAAUCCCAAGUAGGCUCUGCUCUUGCAGCACAGAGCCCAACUUGGGGCUCAAUCCCACAAACCACGAGAUCAUGACCUGAGCUGAAAUCAAGAGUCCCAUGCUCAACCACCUGAGCCACCCAGGCCCCUCCCCGCAUUUGUUUAAUGUAGUCAAAUCUGUCGGUUUUUUGAUGACUUUUUUAUUUCUAAACUUUGGAAAUCAACCUCUAGCCCAAGACUUGGUGCAGGGUAAACUGUACAUACGAAACGUUUACUUCUUUAUUACGUAUUUCUGUUUCAGUAUUAUUGUAUUGACUAGGAUUUUAAAAGCGAGGUUCAACAGUGAAUAUGAUGGCGGGCCUCCUUAGCUUGUUACUAGUUUCAACAGGGAUGCCUCUAGUGUUUCACGGUUAGUAACGACAUUGGCCAUCAGUUUGAAUUACAUCUUUUUUUUUUUAAUGCUUAUCUAUUUGUUUUUUCAUGUUUAUUUAUUUUUGAGAGAGAGAGAGAGAGAGAGAGAGAGACAGACAGACAGAGGGUGAGCAGGGGAGGGCAGAGAGAGAGGGAGACACAGAAUCUAAAGCAGGCUCCAGGCUCUGAGCUGUCAGCACAGAGACCGACUUGGGGCUCGAACUCAUGAAUUGUGAGAUCAUGGUGAGCCAAAGUUACACGCUUAACGGACUGAACCACCCAGGCGCUCCAAUGUUUGUUUAUUUUUGAGACAGAGAGAGUGUGAGAGGGGGAGGGGCAGAGAGAAAGGGGGAACAGAGGAUCCAAAGUGGGCUCUGUGCUGACAGCAGUGAGCCCAAUGCGGGGCUCGAAGUCGGGACCCUCGAGAUCGUGACCUGAGCCAAAGUCAGACGCUCAACCGACUGAGCCCCCCAGGUGCCCCUGAAAUAGAUAUUCUUAAUCACGCUAUGAAUGCACCCUUCUAUUCCUUUUUUGGUGUAUUGAUUAGGUAGAAAUGGUGGUUCGACUUUAAUCAAUUUCCCCCCCACAUAUAUUGGAAUCAAUUCGGUUGUACUUCUUUAACCCAUUAGCAUGACGCGGUUACUAUAUUAAGCUUUCCUGAUAUUGACAAUUGCCCCACUGGGUUAUGGUGGAUGACUUAAUACAUUAUUGAAUUUUAUUUCCGACAUAACAUUUCCAUCCUUUAAUAUGGUUUCUUUGCCAUGCUUAAUAUCAGGCUUAUUUUCCUUUGUAGAAUGAAUUGGAUCGUUCCAUCAAUCUUUUGCUAAGCCAUGGAAACUGCUUAAUGUUAUCAGUACCAUCAAAUUUAAAAUAAUUACCUAGCAAAAAACACUUGGGACCAGUGUCUUCUUUGGGUAAAGGGGGCAGUGCUUUGAUAACAAUCACAAAUUUUUUUCUCAUUUAGCAACAUAUAUAUUUUCAGAGAAGCCUCCAUUUAAUUGAGAUUUUCAAACUUAAGGCAAUUGUGCUUAUAUAUACAUAUCCGUAUUUUUAACUCUCUAUUGCAACGUUCCCUUUCUUAUUCCUCCUAUUUUUUUCUUUUCUUUCUUUCAUUUCUCAAGUCGAUUUGCCAGAGGUUAGUCUACUUUAUUGUUUGUUUAAAAACAGAAUCAGCUCUUGGAUAUAUUUGCUAAUUUCACUGUGUUUCUGUUUUCUAAUUCAUUUAUUUCUGGCUUUAUUCUCCGUUUCUCCCCGUUUUCCUUAGGGGCUGUUUUUUAUUCAUUUUUUUUUUUUUUUUCCUCUAAGAUCUCAGGCUAAUGCUUGGCUUAUUCCCUUUUUCUGUUUCCCUUCUUAAUAAUAAAAGCAUUUAGGUCUAUGAGACUAGCUGCAGCUGCCUCCCAGAGGUUUGGUUAUGUGGCAUUCUGGUUUUCGGUGCUUUCUAAAUAUUUGUCACUAUAUUCUUUAUUUUUUCCUCGACCAAAUAGCAGUUGAGGAGAGGGUUUUAAAUUGUUUUCAAGCGGUUGGGUUUUCAGUUUUAGUCCGUUUAAAUGCACAAUUAUUUUGGCUACGUUUACUGCCUGGUGAUCAAAGGACUCCCCAACUGGCACAAUUUCUGUUUUGGGUGGAACGUGAGUUCUUACAGUUGGUUCCUGGUGGCUGACAGAAAUGUCUGCAAAGCAUAUGCUCGCUUGCAAAGCCCAAGUGCGUUUUAAAAGUUCUUGCUUGCCAUAAUGUUAUGUCAAAUGAAAAAGAAAGAGGAUAUGAAGUUCAAUGUGUUUGUAACCAUGUUUAAAAUACAGUAUAUUUACAUAUGUGCACUGAAAAAGCCUGCGAGGAAAUACAUAAAGGUACUCAACAGUGUUGGUAAAAGUCUACUUGAGGAGAUUAGGGGCGAUUUUUACUCUCUUCACACUUUCCUGUAUUUCUUUUAAAAGCUUAUUUAUUUAUUUUGAGAGAGAGGGAGAGAGAGAGAGAGCGCAUGAGGGAGGGGCAGAAAGAGAGGAGAGAGAAUCCCAAGCAGGCUCCACACUGUCAGCACAGAGGCUGACGUGGGGCUCGAUCCCACGAACCUGGAGAUCAUGACCUGAGCCGAAACCAAGAGACACGGGGCUCGAUCCCACAACCUUGAGAUCAUGACCUGAGCUGAAAUCAGGAGCCAGAUGCUUAACCAGCUGAACCAUGCAGACGCCUCCACUUGUCUCUAUUUUUAAAAGUUUCUAUGUAAGUGUAAGAAUUACUAUUUUAAUAAGAUUUCUUUGAAUGCUUAUUUGCCUAAGGUUUGGGGACAGAAAUGCUCUGUGGCUGAAACUGAUUUUGCAAAGCUCCCCCCGGCCAGAGUGAAGGAGAU